This 1302-nucleotide long non-coding RNA is filed under the name Parus major (Great Tit). RNAcentral describes it as "lncRNA (ENSPMJG00000013559.1)". Lineage: Eukaryota; Metazoa; Chordata; Aves; Passeriformes; Paridae. The record is from RNAcentral.
CGCCCCCAGCCCCGCUUACCUCCCGGCGGGCCCGGGCCCCGCUACCGGCCCCGCGCAGCCCCGGCGCCCCCCGAGGGGGUCAGCCCAGGGCACCGCCAGCUCCGGCCGCCGCGCUCCGGCCGCCCCGCUGCCGCCUCAUACCCGCACGGGCAGCGGCCGCCGCGCCCUCCCGCUCGCUCCUGGGACUUGUAGUCCAAGGGCCGGGCCCGCGGCCAUGUUUAGUCCGGGCAGCCGACGCCGAGGCCCGGCCGCCAUCUCGGCCCCGGGCGGGUGACGCCCCCAAGCCCGCGCUCCCCGCCGGAGGCCGCGCCGGGGCAGCGCCCGCUCCGGAGCGCAGCAAAACCGGCGUGUAGGCAGCCUGACUGCCGGCUUUGGAAGCGUUUAAAUGGAGUUUCCUUACGUGGUCUUCUCCCUGGGACCACCGUGUGUUCCUGCAGGGUCAAAGGGGCCGAGAAAGAGCUGCCGUAUAUUACAAGUUUUCAGGUUUUAAAAUGCAGCCGAAGGUGCUCUGCUGAGGAGAGCUGGCCAGAGAGAUGGGCGGGAGACCUGCCUGCCCUGCAGAGCCUGCUGACAGACCCACCGCUGCUUACCAGCUGCAGAAACAAUCCUCUGGCUCUGCCGAUGUUCCUUGAGUAAGCACUGAGAACACCUUCUUGAGGUCUUCUGAGGACAGAGGAAAUGCUGGCCCUGUUUACUGUAAGGAAACGUAGCAGAAUGCAUAUGAAAAAUUAUAGUGCUGAAUAGUGCAGGAACUUUAAUCAAGUAAAAUACUGUUUCCCUGCAUUCCUUGUGUAUCUGUCAUAAAAGUGACUUUAAAUAACAUUUGAAGUUUUCCCAGGAGUGGUAGGGAAGAUGAAAUAAUGCUGUGACGAGCAUGCUAGUUAGGCAACAUGUCAGAUCCAGUUUGGAUUUUCCAUUUCUUGGACACGAGUUACUGGUGAAAGGUAAAAAUACCCACCCAUUUUCUGUUAGUUUCUUCACCAUAUGGGAAUGUAACUAGUAGCCCCAUAACACAUGUGUAGUAAAGGAUCUCCCAACUGCAUUUUCAAAACCAUCUUGUUUUGGUGGUUUGUUCUUUUCUGAAUUUUUGUAUUCUUAUUUUUUAAAUGUACUUCUAUGACAGAAGACAGUAAGCCAGAACUAUAGCAACAACAACUGCUGUUGUUUCUAGGAGCAGAAUCUACACCUAAGAUGCAGUUAUUUUCCAUAUUUUGACCUGCACAGGGACACACAAAUUGAUCUGUCACUUCAAAUGUUUUUACAUAGUAAUAAACUCAGUAGUGAUGCUGAAAAAAAAAAUCA